RNAcentral lists this ribosomal RNA (430 nucleotides) under Pseudomonadota bacterium. RNAcentral's name for it is "Proteobacteria bacterium partial 16S ribosomal RNA". It matches the Rfam family "Bacterial small subunit ribosomal RNA", at positions 355 to 776 of the family's 1533-position model. The record is from RNAcentral. Lineage: Bacteria; Pseudomonadati; Pseudomonadota.
UGGGGAAUAUUGGACAAUGGGGGGAACCCUGAUCCAGCCAUGCCGCGUGUGUGAAGAAGUCCUUAUGGUUGUAAAGCACUUUAAGCGAGGAGGAGGGUACUGGUAUUAAUACUACCAGGUACUGGACGUUACUCGCAGAAUAAGCACCGGCUAACUCUGUGCCAGCAGCCGCGGUAAUACAGAGGGUGCAAGAGUUAAUCGGAAUUACUGGGCGUAAAGCGCGCGUAGGUGGUUCGUUAAGUUGAAUGUGAAAGCCCCGGGCUCAACCUGGGAACUGCAUCCAAAACUGGCGGGCUAGAGUAGGGCAGAGUGUGGUAGAAUUUCCUGUGUAGCGGUGAAAUGCGUAGAUAUAGGAAGGAACACCAGUGGCGAAGGCGACCACCUUGGCUCAUACUGACACUGAGGUGCGAAAGCGUGGGGAGCAAACAGG